Molecule: ribosomal RNA, 410 nt
Filed under: uncultured microorganism
Description: bacterial SSU rRNA
Rfam family: Bacterial small subunit ribosomal RNA
Source: RNAcentral
CAGCCGCCGCGGUAAUACGUAGGGUGCGAGCUUUAAUCGGAUUUACUGGGCGUAAAGCGUGCGCAGGCGGCCCGUUAAGACAGGUGUGAAAUCCCUGGGCUCAACCUAGGAAUUGCGCUUGUGACUGGCGGGCUCGAGUACGGUAGAGGGGGGUGGAAUUCCUGGUGUAGCAGUGAAAUGCGUAGAGAUCAGAAGGAACACCGAUGGCGAAGGCAGCCCCCUGGGCCUGUACUGACGCUCAUGCACGAAAGCGUGGGGAGCAAACAGGAUUAGAUACCCUGGUAGUCCACGCCCUAAACGAUGGGUACUAGCCGUUUGGUGCGCGAUAGCGCUGAGUGGCGAAGCUAACGCGUGAAGUACCCCGCCUGGGGAGUACGGCCGCAAGGUUGAAACUUAAAGGAAUUGGCGGG